AAAACCCGCACGCCGGAAGACCAAGGGUUCCUGUCCAACGUUAAUCGGGGCAGGGUGAGUCGACCCCUAAGGCGAGGCUGAAAAGCGUAGUCGAUGGGCAACGGGUUAAUAUUCCCGUACUGGUGGUAACUGCGAAGGGGGGACGGAGAAAGCUAAAUCAUCCGGGCGACGGUUGUCCCGGUUUAAGCGUGCAGGUGGACUGACCAGGCAAAUCCGGUCGGUUGUUAACACUGAGGCGUGACGACGAGCCACUACGGUGGUGAAGUGAUUGAUGCUCUGCUUCCGGGAAAAGCCUCUAAGCUCCAGGUUACCAUUAAUCGUACCCCAAACCGACACAGGUGGUCAGGUAGAGAAUACUCAGGCGCUUGAGAGAACUCGGGUGAAGGAACUAGGCAAAAUGGUGCCGUAACUUCGGGAGAAGGCACGCUGGCAUUAGGUGAAGUGGUUUACCCACGGAGCU
This 460-nucleotide ribosomal RNA is filed under the name Morganella morganii. RNAcentral describes it as "bacterial LSU rRNA". It matches the Rfam family "Bacterial large subunit ribosomal RNA", at positions 1325 to 1778 of the family's 2925-position model. Lineage: Bacteria; Pseudomonadati; Pseudomonadota; Gammaproteobacteria; Enterobacterales; Morganellaceae. The record is from RNAcentral.